Molecule: transfer RNA, 71 nt
Filed under: Anolis humilis (humble anole)
Lineage: Eukaryota; Metazoa; Chordata; Lepidosauria; Squamata; Anolidae
Description: tRNA-Tyr
Source: RNAcentral
UGAUAAAGAAAGGAAUUAAACCAAUGUAUACAGGACUACAGCCUGCCGCCUAACACUCGGCCACUUUACCU